GUCUCCCUCUGCCCACCCACCUGCACCUGACAGCUGUGGGCUGUGCUCUCAUGGAGGCACCGUCAGAUGCUACCAGACUACAGAGGAGAGCACCCUCAAUCCUGACUGAAGGUUUGGGAAAAGGCUGCUCAGAAGAGGUGAUACUUGAUACGGGCCCUGGAGGAGGAGAAGCAGUUUGAGAAGACAGCAGUGAGAGAUGGCAUCCGGGCAGGCGAGAAAUGCAAAGGGAAGAGAGGUCAUCCAGGACAAAAGUACAGAAUGAAAAGAAAAAGCAACUAAGCACGAAAUCUUGGAGAAUGUCCUCAUUGAAGGGUCCUGAGCACUAAGGGUACAGUCAAAAAUGAUGAAUCCAGAAAUGAUGCCCUCCAGAACUUCUGGUGAGGAAGGCACUCAGGAAAAUGCAGCACCCUAUGGAGGCCCAGAAAGGAGGGCAUUCAGGAAGAACACAGUCUGAUGGUGUCAACUGCAGUGGAGGCUAAGAG
Molecule: long non-coding RNA, 482 nt
Filed under: Pan troglodytes (chimpanzee)
Lineage: Eukaryota; Metazoa; Chordata; Mammalia; Primates; Hominidae
Description: lincRNA
Source: RNAcentral